UGAAUUUAAAGAUAGAAGAAUAGACAUAGAAGUUUAUAGCCUCUCCUUUCAGAGAGCCUGCUAAAAUAUUUGAAAAGAUAAAAGAGGCUUAAGCUUGCAAGUACAAAGAGAAUAGGAGAGAAGACAUUAAUUGAUGAAAUAUUUCAAUCAUAUUUCAAAAGACAGGAAAGGAAUGUAGGAAAGGUGUCUGAUAUAACCAGAUUGAGGAUAUCAUAUCUUAAAGGACAAGCAAGAAGUUGGUACUAACAAGGAGACAAUAAGUUAGUCCUGUAGACUCCUGGAGAAGCUCCGAAACUGAGGAAUCCAGUACAGCAGAGAGUGUGGGAAUAAACUGAAGAAUAUGUUAACAUGGGAAACAGUCUGUGUACCUCACUUACGGCUCAGGCAUAGAACCCUAGCAGCUGUGUAAUCACCCCCCCAGGCAGGAGGCUGAUUAUUCUUUGGAGAAUGGGAGGCAAGAGCCUCAGGAUUUGGAGACAAUAUGCACGGCCUGGCCCAGAAUUAGUCAUAGGGCUGCAAGCGAGAGAAUUAAUUGCAAAUCUGCCUAUGGCAUGGCCGUACUCCUCAGUGCUUUUCCCUCUCUUUGCUCCUAGGAUGCAGGUUGCCUUUUAGACAGGACAGGAGGAUUCCUUGCUGGAGAAACUGAGCCGUUCCACACUCUCCCCACGUGAAAGAGAAAGAGCAAAAACAACGAAGUCUGAGAAACUGCCACAGUUGAGAGGGGCCUAAGGAGACGUGAUGAUUGAAUGUCCUGUAGGAUCC
RNAcentral lists this long non-coding RNA (762 nucleotides) under Homo sapiens (human). Its description in RNAcentral is "non-protein coding lnc-WISP3-1:1". The record is from RNAcentral. Lineage: Eukaryota; Metazoa; Chordata; Mammalia; Primates; Hominidae.